Molecule: ribosomal RNA, 65 nt
Filed under: Dothiorella viticola
Lineage: Eukaryota; Fungi; Ascomycota; Dothideomycetes; Botryosphaeriales; Botryosphaeriaceae
Description: partial 28S ribosomal RNA
Source: RNAcentral
GUUGACCUCGGAUCAGGUAGGGAUACCCGCUGAACUUAAGCAUAUCAAUAAGCCGGAGGAAACUU